GCUGUCGUGGGCCAUGGUGGCCACCCUCAAAUUGUCAGGUAACACAUUUGACUUUAAGAGGGAAGCGGGGGUUCGAAUCCUCCCGAUGGCA
Mycena leptocephala is the source of this 91-nucleotide non-coding RNA. Lineage: Eukaryota; Fungi; Basidiomycota; Agaricomycetes; Agaricales; Mycenaceae. The record is from the annotation of a GenBank genome assembly.